AUUUCACAUGCUCCUGGGCACUACUCAACAGAUUGAAAAAAUAACAAUAAGAGAAACCAAUGACCCUCCCGAAAUGAAUGCCUCUCUGGCCGUAGAGAGCUCGCUGUGCAUCAGCUGAGGCCCGUGGAUUUAACAGACUCCGAGCUUGGGACGCGGCGUGUCGGGAGGAAGCCCGGAAAGAGGCAGUACCGGAACUACAUAUGGAGGCGAGUGGUGCGAGCGCACGAGGGAUUAUUUUGUGCUGAUGUUCACGUUCUUGGUUCUUAUGCUCCUGAAAACAAUGCCUUCAGCAUGCAAGCAGGUGUGACUCUUAGUCCAUAAAUACAGGAUCCUUCACGGGCACAGUCGGGCCCCUCCCCUGCCGGGGUGUCCUGGCACCCCGGAAUGCUGAUACGGAGCCCUGAGGUUCAGCGAAGGGUCUCUCCUCUCCAGUUUAUCAGACUCGCCACUGUUCUCCUCAUUGUUCAGGCCUUUGACUAUGGAAGGCCGUAAAGAAAGCCAUCAGGCUGAGAAUUCAGGAUUCUCUGAUGCUCCAUGAUUAUGAUUAAGACCUGAGCUUGAGUCUGGUCCUCUGCUCUGGCUGCCCUCUGGUUGCAGGAUUAGGGUCUCCUUAAAUACUGCCAAGGAGGCCUUCUUGCUUUCACGUUUUGCCUUGAGUUGG
RNAcentral lists this long non-coding RNA (661 nucleotides) under Equus asinus (donkey). RNAcentral's name for it is "lncRNA (ENSEASG00005036892.1)". Lineage: Eukaryota; Metazoa; Chordata; Mammalia; Perissodactyla; Equidae. The record is from RNAcentral.